This 253-nucleotide ribosomal RNA is filed under the name uncultured bacterium. Its description in RNAcentral is "partial 16S ribosomal RNA". It matches the Rfam family "Bacterial small subunit ribosomal RNA", at positions 524 to 776 of the family's 1533-position model. The record is from RNAcentral.
UACGGGGGGGGCAAGCGUUGUUCGGAAUUACUGGGCGUAAAGGGCUCGUAGGCGGCCAACUAAGUCGGAUGUGAAAUCCCCAGGCUCAACCUGGGAACUGCAUCCGAUACUGGAUGGCUUGAAUUCGGGAGAGGGAUGCAGAAUUCCAGGUGUAGCGGUGAAAUGCGUAGAUAUCUGGAGGAACACCGGUGGCGAAGGCGGCAUCCUGGACCACGACUGACGCUGAGGAGCGAAAGCCAGGGGAGCAAACGGG